This is a long non-coding RNA of Gadus morhua (Atlantic cod), 575 nucleotides long. RefSeq lists it as uncharacterized. NCBI's taxonomy places the organism in Eukaryota, Metazoa, Chordata, Actinopteri, Gadiformes, Gadidae. The record is from RefSeq and is a predicted model, not a curated record. The transcript has 2 exons.
UCGACACAUGGUCGAAUUACCAAAUUAAUUUCUUGAAAUAUCCUUUAAAAGUCCAUAUCUGUGUGGAUAUAUUUUAAAACCAUCUUGUCUCCAUGUUUCACAGCCGGUCCUGCUGCUCCAGACUGUGGGCAGUGCUGGAUGCUGCUGGUCAUCCUGAAUCCAUCCUCUGCUCUUCUCCUCUCCCUCCUCUCAACCUCGGUCGUCUACCUCCACUGCAGAAAUACAGCCACCAAAGACCCCAGAGUUUAUCCGACAACACCUGACUCAGGAAGUAGAACUCAGGACAUCAGCUUCCAGAACGCUUCACCCAGUUCCUAGUUUUCCUUAACUUCCUAGUUGUGUUUUUAACUUCAUACAUGCGAGAACCAUCCACGGUGAAAAGCUAUAGCUGUACUGACACUGUUGUAAUCAGACGUUGUCUCAUCAUAACACCAUCCUGCAAAGAAUGGCAGCAAAUAUUACUCAGUUUUAUUCUUACAAUAAUGGAUUUAAUAUAGGAGAUAUAUGACCUCAACUUCUUUUAUGACUGACUCAAAUCAAGUAUGAAAGUUUAAAAUAAACUGCCAUGCAACAUC